UACGAAGGGGGCAAGCGUUGUUCGGAAUUACUGGGCGUAAAGGGCGCGUAGGCGGCUUAUCAAGUCAGGCGUGAAAUUCCCGGGCUCAACCUGGGGGCUGCGCUUGAUACUGAUGAGCUUGAAUGCGGGAGAGGAUAGUGGAAUUCCCAGUGUAGAGGUGAAAUUCGUAGAGAUGUGGAGGAACACCGAUGGCGAAGGCAGCCUUCUGGGCCAACACUGACGCUCAUGCACGAAAGCGUGGGGAGCAAACAGG
Molecule: ribosomal RNA, 253 nt
Filed under: uncultured bacterium
Lineage: Bacteria
Description: partial 16S ribosomal RNA
Rfam family: Bacterial small subunit ribosomal RNA
Source: RNAcentral